GACGAACGCUGGCGGCGUGCUUAACACAUGCCAGUCGAACGGAAAGGCCCUUCGGGGUACUCGAGUGGCGAACGGGUGAGUAACACGUGGGUGAUCUGCCCUGCACUUUGGGAUAAGCCUGGGAAACUGGGUCUAAUACCGAAUAGGACCACGCGCUUCAUGGUGUGUGGUGGAAAGCUUUUGCGGUGUGGGAUGGGCCCGCGGCCUAUCAGCUUGUUGGUGGGGUAAUGGCCUACCAAGGCGACGACGGGUAGCCGGCCUGAGAGGGUGACCGGCCACACUGGGACUGAGAUACGGCCCAGACUCCUACGGGAAGCAGCAGUGGGGAAUAUUGCACAAUGGGCGCAAGCCUGAUGCAGCGACGCCGCGUGAGGGAUGACGGCCUUCGGGUUGUAAACCUCUUUCAAUAGGGACGAAGCGCAAGUGACGGUACCUAUAGAAGAAGCACCGGCCAACUACGUG
Molecule: ribosomal RNA, 462 nt
Filed under: uncultured bacterium
Lineage: Bacteria
Description: partial 16S ribosomal RNA
Rfam family: Bacterial small subunit ribosomal RNA
Source: RNAcentral